RNAcentral lists this ribosomal RNA (403 nucleotides) under Verrucomicrobiota bacterium. RNAcentral's name for it is "Verrucomicrobia bacterium partial 16S ribosomal RNA". It matches the Rfam family "Bacterial small subunit ribosomal RNA", at positions 355 to 776 of the family's 1533-position model. Lineage: Bacteria; Pseudomonadati; Verrucomicrobiota. The record is from RNAcentral.
UGGGGAAUAUUGCACAAUGGGCGCAAGCCUGAUGCAGCAACGCCGCGUGAACGAUGAAGGUCUUCGGAUCGUAAAGUUCUGUUGCAGGGGAAGAUAAUGACGGUACCCUGUGAGGAAGCCCCGGUUAACUAGGUGCCAGCAGCCGCGGUAAUACGUAGGGGGCUAGCGUUAUCCGGAUUUACUGGGCGUAAAGGGUGCGUAGGUGGUCUUUCAAGUCGGUGGUUAAAGGCUACGGCUCAACCGUAGUUAGCCUCCGAAACUGGAAGACUUGAGUGCAGGAGAGGAAAGUGGAAUUCCCAGUGUAGCGGUGAAAUGCGUAGAUAUUGGGAGGAACACCAGUAGCGAAGGCGGCUUUCUGGACUGCAACUGACACUGAGGCACGAAAGCGUGGGUAGCAAACAGG